This 395-nucleotide ribosomal RNA is filed under the name uncultured bacterium. RNAcentral describes it as "partial 16S ribosomal RNA". It matches the Rfam family "Bacterial small subunit ribosomal RNA", at positions 338 to 730 of the family's 1533-position model. The record is from RNAcentral.
CCUACGGGCGGCAGCAGUGAGGAAUAUUGGUCAAUGGGCGGGAGCCUGAACCAGCCAAGUAGCGUGAAGGAUGACGGCCCUACGGGUUGUAAACUUCUUUUAUAAAGGAAUAAAGUGAGGCACGUGUGCCUUUUUGCAUGUACUUUAUGAAUAAGGACCGGCUAACUCCGUGCCAGCAGCCGCGGUAAUACGGAGGAUCCGAGCGUUAUCCGGAUUUAUUGGGUUUAAAGGGAGCGUAGGUGGGUUGUUAAGUCAGUUGUGAAAGUUCGGGGCUCAACCGUAGAGUUGCAAUGGAUACUGGCAGGCUUGAGUACGGGAGAGGUAGGCGGAAUUCGUGGUGUAGCGGUGAAAUGCUUAGAUAUGACGAAGAACUCCGAUUGCGAAGGCAGCUUACU